Drosophila serrata is the source of this 1469-nucleotide long non-coding RNA. RefSeq lists it as uncharacterized. The record is from RefSeq and is a predicted model, not a curated record. NCBI's taxonomy places the organism in Eukaryota, Metazoa, Arthropoda, Insecta, Diptera, Drosophilidae.
AUUAUUAAUUGUAUUAUGGAGGAGGACUCAAGCUCACCUUCGAGGGAUCCAGAAACAGAUAUAUUCGGUUUUAAAAGGUCUUUAAGAACCGCAAGCAAAGCAGCUCAACAUUAAUGCUGCAGAACCUAUGGGAAAACGGAAAGCCAUUAGAGGAACCAAGAAGAAUACGUCUAAACUUUCUUGAGGAAAUCUAGCUUCAUAUAUGCCUGAAUAGGUAAACACGAAUGCACGAAAAUACUAUCCAAAAUAAUGUCAUUAUGCAAGAGUUCUAUAAGCGUCAGUUCCGCCGUCGAAAUCUUUUACGUCAAUUGGAUUCACACUUUGAAGUUUCUUAUGGAGACGCUUAAAAUCGUUCAGUUUUCAGGUAUUUAUGCAUUGUCAAGCAAAUAAUAAAAAAAUAAAUAAAAUUAAUUCCAAAAGUCAAAGAAGUAUGUAGAUUUCUGAUUGAAUUUAACUUUUCUAUUUGUCUUUUUCAAUUAUUUUAUUAAUUUGAAAUAAGUAAAGUAUCCAUGGACUACCGAGUUAACAGAAGUGCAUACAAAAUAAUUAAUUUCAAUGGCCCGAACUGUUUGGAGCACUCUUUCAAUCGUUUUGAUAAGAUGCCUCGAAACUUGAAUUCAAGUUUCUAGCGAACUCCUCAGUUAAUUAAAAUUAACUUUUCUCAAAUGAAACAAGAUAAUGGUGCCUAAUGCAUACAGAGUUUCUAAGUUUAUUUAAGCAAGAUGUAAACUUGAGGUUGGUGCCGAUUUAGAGAUGGAAUAAGAUGCAAUAAUAUAGUAUGUGACGCCCCACCAACUCCCUGCCAGCUCCCCGACCAUUUAAGAACUUGGCCAAAACCAGUUGGAGAUCACGUAAGAAGCGACCGAGAACGACCCACGUCAAAAAGAAAGAAAAAAAGGGACACGGCCGCAAUAAAUGCAAUUGGGAAGACAUGGCAGUCAGUUGGUCGAUGGGGAUCCUAUAGGAUCCUAUAUGGAGGAUAGGAUAUGUGCCGUCUGUCACUCCUGACUGAAUGGAUGCGCGUCGAGUGCGCCGGGUCCAUGACAACCUGCAAUCAAGCGCCAGCAGGCAUAUCCAACGGAUUGGACCACAAAAUCAAUACACCGAAAAAAAAUUGAGUGUAAAGCGAGUUCUAUGGAGUUUUUCCUCAACUCAGAACCCCGAGAUAUCUCAAGAUCAGAUCUUCAUCUCUUACAAUUGGUUUUUUCUGUGCAUCAUCAUCAUCAUCAUCAGCUGCAUGCAACCGAGCGCGUAGGCCAGGCAACAUUCAAGCAAUGAGCAGACCUGCAACAUGCAACAGACAGCGAACACAACUGCAACAAUGCUGCGACAUUUGCACGGGCUUUAACUUAAAUUAUGCGCCAAACAAAUAAGGUCUCGCCCAGUACCAACUCUGGAGACCCAGCCCCAUAAUGAUGCCAUGAGGCCAUCUGCAAGUUCUCUUACUGUUACAACACGCAACAAAAAUA